CGAUUUACAAACACAUUCACAACUUUUUAGUCAUCUCACCCACACACUUACAAAUUUUUUGUUCGAACUGUCAAAAAAAUGUCCCUUUGUUAGAGCUACAUACCCGAUAAGAAUUCGUACUCUAAUAAGAAUUCUAUGCGUUAGAGCGAGCAAGUUAGAAACAUCGGAGUUUUGAUGACAGUAUACAUACUGUGAAGAAAUUUCACUUUGCGGAAAUUUUGAAGACUGCAAAACACCAGCGACUUUAGUCACAUUCUUAAGUUUUGGGAUUCACCAUCAGCACCUUCAACGCUU
Molecule: long non-coding RNA, 294 nt
Organism: Rhagoletis pomonella (apple maggot)
Lineage: Eukaryota; Metazoa; Arthropoda; Insecta; Diptera; Tephritidae
Exons: 3
Source: RefSeq, a predicted model, not a curated record